RNAcentral lists this transfer RNA (73 nucleotides) under Candidatus Moranbacteria bacterium CG23_combo_of_CG06-09_8_20_14_all_39_10. RNAcentral's name for it is "tRNA-Ala". It matches the Rfam family "tRNA". Rfam says of the family: Transfer RNA (tRNA) molecules are approximately 80 nucleotides in length. Their secondary structure includes four short double-helical elements and three loops (D, anti-codon, and T loops). The record is from RNAcentral. Lineage: Bacteria; Candidatus Moraniibacteriota.
GGGGAUAUAGCUCAUUUGGUAGAGCGCUUCCAUGGCAUGGAAGAGGUGUGGGGUUCGAUUCCCCAUAUCUCCA